AGGUGACGAUCUUUAGGGGCGGAACCAAAAUUCGGGAAGUUUGGUUCCGCCCGGAAGUGUUUCCGCCCGGACCGGAAAAACAGAACACCGGAACUUCCGGUAGCGCCGUAAGAGGGAAAAUCAGGGAAUUCGAUGCACCUGUGCCUAGUUAGGGACAGCGGUUGGUGAUUGGAGGAUACGCUGGACAAGGCAGUACUUAAGUUCAAGUUAUUUCACAGUCUGGGAGCUCUUUCUGGUGUGUGUGAAGCACUGUGUCGUGCCCGUCUUGGUGCGCUGCUGGUGGCUGUCUAACUCUCUCUCCCUCAGGCUGGAAUUGUAUGAUUGUGAAGACAUCGCGAACCUUAAAGGUUGAGAAGUGAAUGGAUUAUACGGCGAAUUGAGACGACGUGAAAAAGGGGAUUGGAAGCGGCAUUGAUAGUUCAGCCUGGGGUCGUCACAUGUGAUUGCCACAAGCCCCCGGCCACUACUUUGUCGAAUCUGCCGGCCGCACCGUUCUCAAGCCUGCCAUGUGUGACAGAAGGACAGUCUGGUGCUUCUGACUCACAGCCUGUUGGUGAGCUGAUCUUCUCUCCUCAUAUUUCCUCGUCCAUGCUGAAUUCUGAGUAGGAGGGCUAUCCAUCUGCCUGCAGACCACACAAGAUGGCUCAUAAACGAAUGCAGACUGGAAACUGUGAGUUUCCUUAACAGGAAGCUCAGAGAUUAUCGAUCCCACAAUUGAUUUCCAACCAGAAGAUGGAGCAUAUAUAGGAAAUGCAUUUGGUUGUCUGCUUGAGAAGUUCAGUGUUGUGUGUAGGUGAUAUCUCUUGGAGCAUUGGAAGAAUGCCCAAAUAUGCCAGUUAUCUAUAGAGCAAUGCAUGCUAGAGUUCAACUUUAUGGUUGCACAUAUUUUUCAGCUAAGCAAAGCUAGGAUCAUGUCAAGUUUGUGUGUCAGAAGUUCAUCAUUUAGCAUAUGAGUCAGAGACUCACACUUACUCCAAACAUAGUUCCCUUAUAGUAAACUGAGUUUAAGUGCCUUGGGCAGAAAGAUGAUGAGAGACUCUUGGUCCAUUGAACUUCUACAAUCAGACUCUCUCUCUUUCUCUCUUUUUUUUGGCAACACUUUAUAUAACUUGCAUUAAUCAGUCUUUUAACAAAAACAAAUUUUAUACAACAGUAACUUCUGGUCCUUGAAUUUGAUUGAGCACCUUUCCAUGAGUGCUGAUAACAGGCCAAAUGUAACUCUUCCAAAUUUGCUUGUCCUUGUGCAUUCCAGAUAGACUGUGUCUCUGAAAGAACACUUAGUUUCAAUGCAAAUGAAUAGUCUUUUUUACAUAUCCACCCUAUUUUUAACAUGAGAGUGGACUUAUGUUAGUUCACGAGUAUGUGUGUGGCUUCUGACAUUCUUGUCCUGUUAUAUUAUGUGUACAAAAACAUUCUGUUAUGUUGCUUAAUAUUGCAUAUUGCUUAAUAUCAAUAAAAACGCAUUUCUAAUAUUA
Carassius gibelio (silver crucian carp) is the source of this 1475-nucleotide long non-coding RNA. RefSeq lists it as uncharacterized. The transcript is spliced from 3 exons. Lineage: Eukaryota; Metazoa; Chordata; Actinopteri; Cypriniformes; Cyprinidae. The record is from RefSeq and is a predicted model, not a curated record.